This 253-nucleotide ribosomal RNA is filed under the name uncultured bacterium. RNAcentral describes it as "partial 16S ribosomal RNA". It matches the Rfam family "Bacterial small subunit ribosomal RNA", at positions 524 to 776 of the family's 1533-position model. The record is from RNAcentral.
UACAGAGGCCUCAAGCGUUAUCCGGAAUUACUGGGCGUAAAGGGUGUGUAGGUGGUCUAGUUAGUCUUCUGUUAAAUUCUUCGGCUUAACCGGGGACCUGCGGGAGAAACGGCUAGACUAGAGGAUGCAAGAGGUAUAUGGAACUCAUGGAGUAGGGGUGAAAUCCGUUGAUAUCAUGAGGAACACCAAAAGCGAAGGCAGUAUACUGGUGCACUCCUGACACUCAAACACGAAAGCGUGGGGAGCAAACAGG